RNAcentral lists this ribosomal RNA (510 nucleotides) under uncultured bacterium. RNAcentral describes it as "bacterial SSU rRNA". It matches the Rfam family "Bacterial small subunit ribosomal RNA", at positions 15 to 518 of the family's 1533-position model. The record is from RNAcentral.
GAUCUGGCUCAGGAUGAACGCUGGCGGCCGUGCCUAAUACAUGCAAGUCGUACGAGGGAAGUCCAGCUUGCUGGACGGAACGAGUGGCGAACGGGUGAGUAAUACGUAAGCAACCUGCCUGCAAGGACUGGGAUAACACCUGGAAACGGGCGCUAAUACCGGAUAGGUAACAAAGGGGCAUCCCUAUGUUAUUAAGGUUAGAAACACAAGCAGAUGGGCUUACGGUGCAUUAGCUAGUUGGUGAGGUAACGGCCCACCAAGGCGAUGAUGCAUAGCCGGCCUGAGAGGGUGAACGGCCACAUUGGGACUGAGACACGGCCCAGACUCCUACGGGAGGCAGCAGUAGGGAAUUUUCGGCAAUGGACGAAAGUCUGACCGAGCAACGCCCGCGUGAGUGAAGAAGGUUUUCGGAUUGUAAAGCUCUGUUGUAAGGGAAGAACAGCACGGAAAGAAUCCGUGAAUGACGGUACCUUACCAGAAAGCCACGGCUAACUACGUGCCAGCCGCCGC